Molecule: ribosomal RNA, 407 nt
Filed under: uncultured Polaribacter sp.
Lineage: Bacteria; Pseudomonadati; Bacteroidota; Flavobacteriia; Flavobacteriales; Flavobacteriaceae
Description: bacterial SSU rRNA
Rfam family: Bacterial small subunit ribosomal RNA
Source: RNAcentral
CACAGAUGACGACCGGCGCACGGGUGCGUAACGCGUAUAGAACCUACCUUUUACAGAGGAAUAGCCUUUAGAAAUGAAGAUUAAUGCCUCAUGGUAUUGUAGACUGGCAUCAGUUUAUAAUUAAAGAUUUAUCGGUAAAAGAUGGCUAUGCGUCCUAUUAGUUAGUUGGUAAGGUAACGGCUUACCAAGACAGCGAUAGGUAGGGGUCCUGAGAGGGAGAUCCCCCACACUGGUACUGAGACACGGACCAGACUCCUACGGGAGGCAGCAGUGAGGAAUAUUGGACAAUGGAGGAGACUCUGAUCCAGCCAUGCCGCGUGUAGGAAGAAUGCCCUAUGGGUUGUAAACUACUUUUAUACAGGAAGAAACACUGGUAUGUAUACCAGCUUGACGGUACUGUAAGAAUA